Long non-coding RNA from Sphaerodactylus townsendi, 1166 nucleotides. RefSeq lists it as uncharacterized. NCBI's taxonomy places the organism in Eukaryota, Metazoa, Chordata, Lepidosauria, Squamata, Sphaerodactylidae. The record is from RefSeq and is a predicted model, not a curated record. The transcript is spliced from 4 exons.
UGACAGUUUUUCUGUUGAGUUCUGCACAGGGAAGAUGAAGUGUCAGGAGUUGGCGGAAGAGCACUGAUGAAAAGGGGCAGAAAUGAUGACAAGGAAAUAUGCUGAAGAACACCACCACCACAGCGGCCUUGGGCAGCAUGCCAGUCCUCUUCUGAAAGUGUUCCCCAGACUCGGGAAGAUGCCUGGACCCCAAGCUGACAGCCUGUCAGCGGUCCUGGGGAAAGGGGGGGCCAAUGAUGAAGGGCAGCCACAUGACCUAAGGUGCAACCUAUGAGGAAGGCUGUAACGGUUUGUGAGCGUGCGAGAGAGGAGGACCAGGGUGCAGUCGCCAUGGGCAAACCCCCUCCCUCUCAUCCUUCUGAGGCCUCCCUCCCAAGGACCAAUAGCAUUGUGGUGGUCUGUCAGUGCUGCAGUAACAUUCCAGGUUGAGACUGCUACAGGAGGCAACCGCUAUAGAAAGACUGGAAGGAGCCACAUCCAUUGUCUUGCAAAUGUGUGAUGAUGGGUCACACCUUUUCCUGUGAUGUCUUCCUGAUGGCUUCCAUUCAUCACACUUCAGAAUGGGUACCAAAGCUGGAUUGUUUCCAAGAAGGAGUGCUUCUGGAUUGUGAAGAGGAGAAGUGCAUCUGGGCCCCAAAAUGGACUGGACAUUGGACAAUGACAUUGCAGCAGGGGCACAGGUGAUUUUUCCCAGCCCAUUUCAUGUUGGAGACUGAGCUUGGAUGGACAUUUCAGGAAGACAGUAGAGGCUGCCAUGAUGGUCAAUCCAACACCUGAGGAGAACUGCCUGGAAGACACCUACAGUUAAGACUCUGGGGGGAAGGAGGGAGGGCAGAAGAAACUCAACCAGUUUUUGCUGUUAAGCAUCUCUGGGGGGGGAUGGGGGGUUGGGUGGCAUGUACAAAUGUUGCUGUUUUGCAUACAGUGCUGUUGAACAGAGUGUUCAUUUUUUCUAUUUGCUUCUCUGGAAUUCCCUGCUGGAACAGACAGAGUUCUGAGAGAGCUGGGAUAUGGGGGGGGGGGAAGAGUUAUGAGAUACUUCAGCGAACAACUGGUUGUGGGGGGUUUUCUGGGCUAUAUUAUGUUUAUUUGUAUUUGUGUAUAUGAUGUCUUCUUAUAAUGUAUAAAAGUUCUGCAGUUGCAAUAAAGGUUAACUGACACUUUAA